This 406-nucleotide ribosomal RNA is filed under the name uncultured bacterium. Its description in RNAcentral is "partial 16S ribosomal RNA". It matches the Rfam family "Bacterial small subunit ribosomal RNA", at positions 30 to 526 of the family's 1533-position model. The record is from RNAcentral.
AUUGAACGCUGGCGGCAGGCCUAACACAUGCAAGUCGAACGAGUGGCGGACGGGUGAGUAAUGCCUGGGAAUCUGGCUUAUGGAGGGGGAUAACGACUGGAAACUGUCGCUAAUACCGCGUACCAUAGGAUGAGCCCAGGUGGGAUUAGCUAGUUGGUGGGGUAAUGGCACACCAAGCCGACGAUCUCUAGCUGGUCUGAGAGGAUGACCAGCCACACCGGGACUGAGACACGGCCCGGACUCCUACGGGAGGCAGCAGUGGGGAAUAUUGCGCAAUGGGGGCAACCCUGACGCAGCCAUGCCGCGUGGAUGAAGAAGGCCUUCGGGUUGUAAAGUUCUUUCAGUGACGAGGCGUUACCCACAGAAGAAGCACCGGCUAACUCCGUGCCAGCAGCCGCGGUAAUAC